RNAcentral lists this ribosomal RNA (917 nucleotides) under uncultured bacterium. Its description in RNAcentral is "bacterial SSU rRNA". It matches the Rfam family "Bacterial small subunit ribosomal RNA", at positions 28 to 916 of the family's 1533-position model. The record is from RNAcentral.
AAUGAACGCUGGCGGCGUGCUUAACACAUGCAAGUCGUACGAGAACUCUUUAGCUUGCUAAAGAUAGUAAAGUGGCGCACGGGUGAGUAACGCGUGGGUAAUCUACCUCUGAAUCUGGGAUAACAUUGCGAAAGCGAUGCUAAUACCGGAUAAUAUCUUAAAAUCGUCAGGUUUUGAGAUCAAAAAUGGCCUCUACAUGUAAGCUGUUGUUUGGAGAUGAGCCCGCGUACCAUUAGCUUGUUGGUAGGGUAAUGGCCUACCAAGGCAACGAUGGUUAGCUGGUCUGAGAGGAUGAUCAGCCACACUGGAACUGGCACACGGUCCAGACUCCUACGGGAGGCAGCAGUGAGGAAUUUUGCGCAAUGGGGGAAACCCUGACGCAGCAACGCCGCGUGAGUGAUGAAGGCCCUCGGGUCGUAAAGCUCUAUCAAGUGGGAAGAAAAUGUAAAAUGUUAAUACCAUUUUUCACUGACGGUACCACUGAAGGAAGCACCGGCUAACUCCGUGCCAGCAGCCGCGGUAAUACGGAGGGUGCAAGCGUUAUUCGGAAUUAUUGGGCGUAAAGGGCGCGUAGGCGGCCUUUUAAGUCAGAUGUGAAGGCCCGGGGCUUAACCCCGGAAGUACAUUUGAAACUAAAGGGCUUGAGUAUGGGAGAGGGAAGUGGAAUUCCUGGUGUAGCGGUGAAAUGCGUAGAUAUCAGGAGGAACACCGGUGGCGAAGGCGACUUCCUGGACCAAUACUGACGCUAAGGCGCGAAGGCGUGGGUAGCAAACAGGAUUAGAUACCCUGGUAGUCCACGCAGUAAACGGUGAACACUAGGUGUAGCGGGUAUUGACCCCUGCUGUGCCGCAGCUAACGCAUUAAGUGUUCCGCCUGGGGAGUACGGUCGCAAGAUUAAAACUCAAAGGAAUUGACGG